UACGUAGGGACCGAGCGUUGUCCGGAAUCAUUGGGCGUAAAGAGCGUGUAGGCGGCCACUUAAGUCCUGCGUGAAAUCUUGCGGCUCAACCGCAAGCGGUCGUGGGAAGCUGGGUGGCUAGAGUGCGGGAGAGGAGAGUGGAAUUCCUGGUGUAGCGGUGGAAUGCGCAGAUAUCAGGAGGAACACCGGUGGCGAAGGCGGGUCUCUGGGCAACAACUGACGCUGAGGAGCGAAAGCGUGGGGAGCGAACAGG
RNAcentral lists this ribosomal RNA (253 nucleotides) under uncultured bacterium. Its description in RNAcentral is "partial 16S ribosomal RNA". It matches the Rfam family "Bacterial small subunit ribosomal RNA", at positions 524 to 776 of the family's 1533-position model. The record is from RNAcentral.